Molecule: ribosomal RNA, 253 nt
Filed under: uncultured bacterium
Lineage: Bacteria
Description: partial 16S ribosomal RNA
Rfam family: Bacterial small subunit ribosomal RNA
Source: RNAcentral
UACGAAUGGGGCAAGCGUUGUUCGGAAUCACUGGGCUUAAAGCGUGCGUAGGCGGAUCUGCAAGUCAGAAGUGAAAUCCCCGGGCUUAACCCGGGAACUGCUUUUGAAACUGCAAAUCUGGAAUCCGGGAGGGGUUAGGAGAAUUCCUAGUGUAGAGGUGAAAUUCGCAGAUAUUAGGAGGAAUACCAGUGGCGUAGGCGCCUAACUGGACCGGUAUUGACGCUGAGGUACGAAAGCGUGGGUAGCAAACAGG